CCGUACCAUGCUGAAUAUACCGGUUCUCGUUAGAUCACCGAAGUUAAGCAUCAUUGGGCGCGGUCAGUACUUGGGUGGGUGACCACCUGGGAACACUGCGUGCCGUU
This 107-nucleotide ribosomal RNA is filed under the name Caerostris darwini. The record is from RNAcentral. Lineage: Eukaryota; Metazoa; Arthropoda; Arachnida; Araneae; Araneidae.